RNAcentral lists this ribosomal RNA (497 nucleotides) under uncultured bacterium. RNAcentral describes it as "partial 16S ribosomal RNA". It matches the Rfam family "Bacterial small subunit ribosomal RNA", at positions 28 to 507 of the family's 1533-position model. The record is from RNAcentral.
GAUGAACGCUGGCGGCGUGCCUAAUACAUGCAAGUCGAGCGAACGGACGAGAAGCUUGCUUCUCUGAUGUUAGCGGCGGACGGGUGAGUAACACGUGGAUAACCUACCUAUAAGAUUGGGAUAACUUCGGGAAACCGGUGCUAAUACCGGAUAAUAUUUUGAACCGCAUGGUUCAAAAGUGAAAGACGGUCUUGCUGUCCCUUAUAGAUGGAUCCGCGCUGCAUUAGCUAGUUGGUAAGGUAACGGCUUACCAAGGCAACGAUGCAUAGCCGACCUGAGAGGGUGAUCGGCCACACUGGAACUGAGACACGGUCCAGACUCCUACGGGAGGCAGCAGUAGGGAAUCUUCCGCAAUGGGCGAAAGCCUGACGGAGCAACGCCGCGUGAGUGAUGAAGGUCUUCGGAUCGUAAAACUCUGUUAUUAGGGAAGAACAUAUGUGUAAGUAACUGUGCACAUCUUGACGGUACCUAAUCAGAAAGCCACGGCUAACUACGUG